Molecule: unclassified non-coding RNA, 279 nt
Filed under: plant metagenome
Description: partial contains small subunit ribosomal RNA, internal transcribed spacer 1, and 5.8S ribosomal RNA
Source: RNAcentral
UUUCCGUAGGUGAACCAGCGGAGGGAUCAUUAUUGUAUAACCAAGGUGCGAGGGCUUCGGCUAAGCCGACAGGACGGGCACGUCCGAGUGCCCCGAGACACAGCCAUCUCACCCCUGUGUGCACCACGGCGUCGGUCCCCAUUUGGGAUGUUUGGAGGGCGGCUUGCGUUUUCACUCAAACUUUGGAUGCAGUGUAGAAUAUAGUUUUUGUUUUUGCGAGCACGCAAGCAAUACACAUUACAACAACGGAGCACUUGGCUCUCGUAUCGAUGAAUAGAG